GCACGUAUGGCCGAGUGGUCUAAGGCGGAAGACUUAAGCUCUUCUACAGGUAACUGUGCGUGAGUUCAAACCUCACUGCGUGCA
This is a non-coding RNA of Batrachochytrium salamandrivorans, 84 nucleotides long. NCBI's taxonomy places the organism in Eukaryota, Fungi, Chytridiomycota, Chytridiomycetes, Rhizophydiales. The record is from Rfam.